This 268-nucleotide ribosomal RNA is filed under the name uncultured Geobacter sp. RNAcentral describes it as "partial 16S ribosomal RNA". It matches the Rfam family "Bacterial small subunit ribosomal RNA", at positions 556 to 823 of the family's 1533-position model. Lineage: Bacteria; Pseudomonadati; Thermodesulfobacteriota; Desulfuromonadia; Geobacterales; Geobacteraceae. The record is from RNAcentral.
GGGCGUAAAGCGCGUGUAGGCGGUUUCUUAAGUCUGAUGUGAAAGCCCCGGGCUCAACCCGGGAAGUGCAUUGGAUACUGGGAGACUUGAAUACGGGAGAGGGUAGUGGAAUUCCUAGUGUAGGAGUGAAAUCCGUAGAUAUUAGGAGGAACACCGGUGGCGAAGGCGGCUACCUGGACCGAUAUUGACGCUGAGACGCGAAAGCGUGGGGAGCAAACAGGAUUAGAUACCCUGGUAGUCCACGCCGUAAACGAUGAGAACUAGGUGU